Molecule: RNA transcript, 3261 nt
Organism: Cyanidioschyzon merolae strain 10D
Lineage: Eukaryota; Rhodophyta; Bangiophyceae; Cyanidiales; Cyanidiaceae
Exons: 1
Source: RefSeq, a predicted model, not a curated record
GAUUCCGCAUUGAUAGGCGAACGCUUAUGACAGGAGCGACCGGUACUCGCCUCUCUCGGCAACAGCUCUUUCGUGAAAAACGGAGGAUCUAACCGUAGAUACGCAAAGCGGUGCGAAAUGCCUCUCGUAAAGCCUCGACCGGUGAGCGUAGCGACGACAACAUCAGCCCCAGCGGCGAUUCAAGCAUGUAGUCGCCUGAGUAUCGGCAAACAGGCAGACUCAAGCAACACGUCUGCCUCCCUUCUUCGAAGCACUCUGUGGCCUCUGCUUCUCGCGUUAUUCUGUCCUGCGGGUAGGCCACGUUGCUUGCUGUGACGCAAAGGCGCUCCACGAGUGCGCAGCUGAGACGAGCGUUGAGCUGGUGUUCGCUUCAGCCUGGAAGUGCACGCUCAGUCCAGUUGGAAGCGUCUUCUCUGUCCUCCGUCGCCAUGCUUUCCCUCAGGAUGCGUUCCAUAAAAACGCUCGGAUGCGUGACGCUGUCCUUGGACAAGUCGUUUUCAGUCUUCGUCAGCGUUGAACGACUCUGGUGCUGAGCGGGUCGCCUGCGGGGAGGGAUCGGUGAAGCGCGCCUCAGGCGUUUGGCACGCUCGCGGCUGAGAAGCUCGUGGAAAAGGCAGCUGCGGGAUCGGAAACAUAUAUACGCGGGGAGGCAAGUUGCUGGCUCGCCGUCCAUCCACGGGGUCUGACUGCCGGUGUAAGAAAAUGGAAGUGGAGUGCGACGUGCACAUCCACGCUACCCGCCACGAAAGGAGAAUGCGAAGCAACCACCUGACAGAAAAGAGAAGGAUCCCAGCCGCAAAGAGGACGACGAGAGUCAGGAAGGAAACCCUGCGCACUGGAAAGGCCAGUCCGAAACCAGCGCCUACACGUCGGUGCCAGAACGCAUCAACGGAAAAAAUUCUCCGAGUACGUGAGAUGCCCAGGGCUAUUAGGUAUUGCGUAGAAUGUGGUUGUCGGAAGGCUCGCCUAGCUCUCCCCGAAUGGAUGCCCCUCGUGCAGCAACUGGCGGCAAGGGUUUCGGAGGCAGCGCUGCCAGCAGUUCGCAUUCGUAGGGAGUUUUUGGUCAAACCCUCGAGCGACAGCACUAGGAAUGCUCCGCUCCGAGCAUGCCAGCGGGCCUGUUCGUGGUGUCAUUGACCAAUACACACGCUGGCCGGCAUCCGUUUCUGCGCUGCACUACAUGGUUGCUCGGCCCAUGGACAGCGUAGGUGCCAGGAAAAGUUUCGCCCAAACCUCAGAACCCAUAGCCAAGAGCGGGUCCGUGGCGACUACCCUACGAGGCGCACCCCAGAGGCGUUGUACUCGUUGCGUCCACAGCGUUGUGGUCGACGAAAUGUUGGCGACUGACGCAAGCGGCUCUUGGGAUGUCCGUGGAGGCACGUGACGAGCUGGCUCCGGACGAGAAGGUGCUGGAAGCGAGCUCGGAGAUGUCGCAUCGAGAACGAGCGACGCUCCAGAUCGUCCGAGCUCAUGGAGUAGGUUUCUGUUCCGGAGCUGGGCACGUCGUCUCGGAAGGAUUACGCGGGCGUUGACCUGGCCUAACUUGCAUCCUGCGCUGCUAGGUUUUCGCGAACGCGGCGCUCCACCGCAAGGCAGACCCUCUGGUCGUAUGUGAGCGCCUUUGCAUCCUCAAACCCCUGGUCGAUACGGUCCCCGCAUUUCGGGGCAAAGCCCAUGAUACCACCGUGCAUAUUUGUGUGGUGUACGACGUCCUCAGUGGUCUACGAUGUGUGCGCACGAGCAGCUAGGGGGCACUCUACCUAUUUCGGGCAGAGCGUUGGCGGGGCUCGUUCAUCGCCACUCGUUGGCUGGGAAAACACGGAAAGCGAUGUACAGGGGCCUUGGAGACGCGCACGGCACAUCAAACAGCAUGCACUUUGCGAAACCCCGGCCCGCUCGGAGCAACGAGACUCAUAUUCAACCGCUUACGGAAAACGAACGUGAAGGCUUCGUGGUGCGCGUGGAUGCCGUUUCUGAGGGCGCCGUGGCCGUCACCGUGCCCGUUCGUCACGGGGCAGCGCCAGAGACCUGAACGGAAAGCAAAUGAGUCUGCUCCACGCCUCCAGGGCCCGGUAUCAUCCGGAGUUGGACGUGAACGACGCCAGCAGGCGUACCAACUCGUGGAAUGACGACGUAAAGACCUGUCGUGACGCGCUGAGUACGGUAUCGGGCAAAAGGAGAUGCACUGCGCACCUCAUUCAUAACGGGUAUGAGCGACUAGAUCGCUCAUGCGGACGAGCCAUGGCAGAGGAACGCGGGACCGAGCUCGAGUCUCCAACAGUCGCAACCGCUCGCGGGCACGAGGCGGGUAUUCGCAAGCUUCCUCAAAGCACUGGAAACGGAACUGGCCGAUCGGUUGCAUCUUAUAAAGAUAGUGCAUGGCGGUGGACGCGCUCUAGUUGCAGAACUGGACUGUCGUCGAUAACGCACAAGGGAUCCGCGAACCGGCACUGAAGUGCUCUCGGUGAUGAGCUCUGGACGAGAUUCUCACAUCGCGAGCACAGAGACACGCUGAAACUGCCGGUGAAGACGAUUUGGAAACGGAGCCAGACGUAUGAGAUGACGUACGCUGAGUUCAUUGAGCUCCAGGUGGCAAUGCACUCACAGUUGAGACGCUUGCUGUGGAGUGUCUCCAUCACGAACGGGAAACGCGUCCAGUUUCUGAACCGAGAUUUGAGCGCCCAUAUCAGCAUCUGGAACUGCAUCGUUCUUCAGGAGCGUCCAUCGGCUUUACUUCAGGCGAGGCUUCGAUUCGAUUGUCUAGUAUGCAGUGUGGGUAUUGUGCUGGAAUGCUGCGGACUCUCGAUGAAAAACAUCAUGUAUCAUCAGAGCGGCGAUUAAGUCCCCGCUUGGAGCAAGCCACUUGUAUGGUACGGUCUGCACUGUAUCAAGGCCGGACUGCCAUAUACCUUCGCCACGAACAAUGUUCGUGGGUAAUUGUGGAACACUCAUCGUAUUCCUUACUUGGGUAUUACGGAGUAUAGCGCUGUAGCAAACGAGGCUGGCGCUGCAGUGCGUGGCAUUCAAACAUGACUCUGCGCUGGCCUUGAAUUUCGUCCGGGCGGCAUUCCGGUACAGUCUCGAAAACUUUCUCUGUGCAGCAGCGUGCAGCUGUCUGCAACUUUAGUUUGAGUUACCGCGCUAUUACGUUCAUAUUCUGUACAGCACUCUUUUGCAGCGGUAGAGCUAGUUCUCUGUACAGCUGCGUACUUUUAUAUAUAUAUGAAUACGCUCUGCGGGGCGAAAAUGUUUCGCGAACAU